This 253-nucleotide ribosomal RNA is filed under the name uncultured bacterium. RNAcentral describes it as "partial 16S ribosomal RNA". It matches the Rfam family "Bacterial small subunit ribosomal RNA", at positions 524 to 776 of the family's 1533-position model. The record is from RNAcentral.
UACGUAGGGUGCAAGCGUUAAUCGGAAUUACUGGGCGUAAAGAGCGUGUAGGCGGCUUUACAGGUCCGUUGUGAAAACUCGAGGCUCAACCUCGAGACGCCGGUGGAAACCGUAAAGCUAGAGUCCGGAAGAGGAGAGUGGAAUUCCUGGUGUAGCGGUGAAAUGCGCAGAUAUCAGGAGGAACACCCGUGGCGAAAGCGGCUCUCUGGGACGGUACUGACGCUGAGACGCGAAAGCGUGGGGAGCAAACAGG